RNAcentral lists this ribosomal RNA (569 nucleotides) under Anaplasma phagocytophilum. RNAcentral's name for it is "bacterial SSU rRNA". It matches the Rfam family "Bacterial small subunit ribosomal RNA", at positions 880 to 1446 of the family's 1533-position model. The record is from RNAcentral. Lineage: Bacteria; Pseudomonadati; Pseudomonadota; Alphaproteobacteria; Rickettsiales; Anaplasmataceae.
ACACGGUCGCAAGACUAAAACUCAAAGGAAUUGACGGGGACCCGCACAAGCGGUGGAGCAUGUGGUUUAAUUCGAUGCAACGCGAAAAACCUUACCACUCCUUGACAUGGAGAUUAGAUCCUUCUUAACGGAAGGGCGCAGUUCGGCUGGAUCUCGCACAGGUGCUGCAUGGCUGUCGUCAGCUCGUGUCGUGAGAUGUUGGGUUAAGUCCCGCAACGAGCGUAACCCUCAUCCUUAGUUGCCAGCGGGUAAUGCCGGGCACUUUAAGGAAACUGCCGGUGGUAAACUGGAGGAAGGUGGGGAUGAUGUCAAGUCAGCACGGCCCUUAUGGGGUGGGCUACACACGUGCUACAAUGGUGACUACAAUAGGUUGCAAUGUCGCAAGGCUGAGCUAAUCCGUAAAAGUCAUCUCAGUUCGGAUUGUCCUCUGCAACUCGAGGGCAUGAAGUCGGAAUCGCUAGUAAUCGUGGAUCAGCAUGCCACGGUGAAUACGUUCUCGGGUCUUGUACACACUGCCCGUCACGCCAUGGGAAUUGGCUUAACUCGAAGCUGGUGCGCUAACCGAAAGG